GAUGAAGAACGUAGCGAAAUGCGAUAAGUAAUGUGAAUUGCAGAAUUCAGUGAAUCAUCGAAUCUUUGAACGCACAUUGCGCCCGCCAGUAUUCUGGCGGGCAUGCCUGUUCGAGCGUCAUUUCAACCAUCAAGCCCCAGGCUUGUGUUGGGGACCUGCGGCUGCCGCAGGCCCUGAAAACCAGUGGCGGGCUCGCUAGUCACACCGAGCGUAGUAGCAUACACAUCGCUCAGGGCGUGCUGCGGGUUCCGGCCGUUAAACCCCUUUUUUACCAAAGGUUGACCUCGGAUCAGGUAGGAAGACCCGCUGAACUUAAGCAUAUCAAUAAGCGGAGGA
This 336-nucleotide unclassified non-coding RNA is filed under the name soil metagenome. Its description in RNAcentral is "partial contains 5.8S ribosomal RNA, internal transcribed spacer 2, and large subunit ribosomal RNA". The stretch from base 1 to 120 matches the Rfam family "5.8S ribosomal RNA", at positions 35 to 154 of the family's 154-position model. The record is from RNAcentral.